This 431-nucleotide ribosomal RNA is filed under the name uncultured bacterium. RNAcentral's name for it is "partial 16S ribosomal RNA". It matches the Rfam family "Bacterial small subunit ribosomal RNA", at positions 29 to 507 of the family's 1533-position model. The record is from RNAcentral.
AACGAACGCUGGCGGCAGGCUUAACACAUGCAAGUCGAACGCCCCGCAAGGGGAGUGGCAGACGGGUGAGUAACGCGUGGGAACAUACCCUUUUCUACGGAAUAGCUCUGGGAAACUGGAAUUAAUACCGUAUACGCCCUACGGGGGAAAGAUUUAUCGGGGAAGGAUUGGCCCGCGUUGGAUUAGCUAGUUGGUGGGGUAAAGGCCUACCAAGGCGACGAUCCAUAGCUGGUCUGAGAGGAUGAUCAGCCACAUUGGGACUGAGACACGGCCCAAACUCCUACGGGAGGCAGCAGUGGGGAAUAUUGGACAAUGGGCGCAAGGCUGAAGCAGCCAUGCCGCGUGAGUGAUGAAGGCCGUAGGGUAGUAAAGCUCUUUCACCGAUGAAGAUAAUGACGGUAGUCGGAGAAGAAGCCCCGGCUAACUUCGUG